GCACUGAAGAGUCCCAAAAUAGGACGAAACAGCCGUCAAGUAU
RNAcentral lists this non-coding RNA (43 nucleotides) under Trichobilharzia regenti. The record is from RNAcentral. Lineage: Eukaryota; Metazoa; Platyhelminthes; Trematoda; Strigeidida; Schistosomatidae.